UACGGAGGGUGCGAGCGUUGUCCGGAAUCAUUGGGCGUAAAGAGCGUGUAGGCGGCCCGAUAAGUCCGCUGUGAAAGUCCAGGGCUCAACCCUGGGAUGCCGGUGGAUACUGUCGGGCUCGAGUCCGGAAGAGGAGUGUGGAAUUCCUGGUGUAGCGGUGAAAUGCGCAGAUAUCAGGAGGAACACCAAUGGCGAAGGCAGCACUCUGGGACGUGACUGACGCUGAGACGCGAAAGCGUGGGGAGCAAACAGG
This 253-nucleotide ribosomal RNA is filed under the name uncultured bacterium. RNAcentral's name for it is "partial 16S ribosomal RNA". It matches the Rfam family "Bacterial small subunit ribosomal RNA", at positions 524 to 776 of the family's 1533-position model. The record is from RNAcentral.